This 205-nucleotide unclassified non-coding RNA is filed under the name soil metagenome. RNAcentral describes it as "partial contains 5.8S ribosomal RNA, internal transcribed spacer 2, and large subunit ribosomal RNA". The record is from RNAcentral.
AACACUGUUAACCUGCGGUACCUGCGGAGGGAUCAUUACCGAGUUUACAACUCCCAAACCCCUGUGAACAUACCUAUACGUUGCCUCGGCGGAUCAGCCCGCGCCCUGUAAAAAGGGACGGCCCGCCCGAGGACCCUAAACUCUGUUUUUAGUGGAACUUCUGAGUAAAACAAACAAAUAAAUCAAAACUUUCAACAAUGGAUCU